Molecule: long non-coding RNA, 254 nt
Filed under: Elaeis guineensis (African oil palm)
Lineage: Eukaryota; Viridiplantae; Streptophyta; Magnoliopsida; Arecales; Arecaceae
Description: long non-coding RNA (EGUI_LNC060316)
Source: RNAcentral
GGGUAGUAGUAUUUUUGAAUUUUGACCAGAGAAUAUUUGCUACUUUUAUCCAUUUGACUAGAUUAGCUGAAUUCUUUUUAUUAUUUUUAAAUUUUAAUUAUGUGUUUAGCACUAUGGGUGGAGAAAAGAAAUCUGAGGAAUCCGGUGUAAGCUUGUGGACCAAACGAAGUUGAUAUAUCAAAAUCUAUUUUAUACAUGUCACAAUAAAAAAAAUUUAAGAGAUUUUUAAUAUCAUAUUGAUCUUAUAUUCCAUC